CCAAUAGCGUAUAUUAAAGUUGUUGCAGUUAAAAAGCUCGUAGUUGAAUUUCGGGGUCUAUCCGUUGGUCGGGCUUUUGGGUCCGUACUGGCGUUAUGGAUUCCUACCUUCUGAAUAACCGGCAUGCCAUUAAUUUGGUGCGCUGGGGAAGCAGGACUGUUACCUUGAAAAAAUUAGAGUGCUUAAAGCAGGCUAUCGCCUGAAUACAUUAGCAUGGAAUAAUGAAAUAGGACGGCAUGGUUCUAUUUUGUUGGUUUCUAGGAUCACCGUAAUGAUUAAUAGGGAUAGUUGGGGGCAUUAGUAUUCAAUCGUCAGAGGUGAAAUUCUUGGAUUUAUUGAAGACUAACUUCUGCGAAAGCAUUUGCCAAGGAUGUUUUCAUUAAUCAAGGACGAAAGUUAGGGGAUCGAAGACGAUCAGAUACCGUCGUAGUCUUAACCAUAAACUAUGCCGACUAGGGAUCGGAUGAUGUUAAUUUUUUAAUGACUCA
This 488-nucleotide ribosomal RNA is filed under the name uncultured Glomeromycotina. RNAcentral's name for it is "SSU rRNA". It matches the Rfam family "Eukaryotic small subunit ribosomal RNA", at positions 591 to 1078 of the family's 1831-position model. Lineage: Eukaryota; Fungi; Glomeromycota. The record is from RNAcentral.